UUUUUUUUUUUCCCUAAAGUAUACAUAGCAAAAUAAAUUCCAGGGACAGGUAGAAGGGGGAAAUUUGGAGUGGAGCCAGAGAAUGGAGAACUGUGGGAGGGCAGUUGAAGGUUUUAACUAGGGAACUUGACUGUUCAGUCUUCUUAUCCUUAAAAACUUCAUAGGACAAGGGCAGGCAGCUGCACCAUGUACUCAGAACUACUGGGCCAGCUCCUCUCCUCAUGGUGUCUGCAGUUGCUGACACCUGUUCGAAUGCUGGCACUCUUGCCUCAGAAAAUGAGUUGUCUGUCCUCUCAAGCUGACCCACCUCCAUCAAUCAUCCCCAAACACUGUGAACGGUCAAUAGUCUGCAAUUCACACUUGACCCAAGGGCUAAUCAGGGUCAUCUGACUUUUUUGUUGUUGUUAAGCCAGCAAAGUUAGAAGUUGGCCAAUUAUGGGGAAGUGUCUUCUCUCUACACCACCAGCCAAAUAAAGAUGUUGCCUAGCCUAUCUGAAAAAGGGGGUAGAGGGGGCAGGGGAAGCGAAGCCGGAACUGCCAGCUUACCUGGAUGCUUUUUCAGCAAUUUCAGAACCAAUCUAGUGGUCCCGAUGGGAGACCAGUUGACUGGAGAAAAACAGUCUGACAUCUGCUAGAUUGUCUCUGCAGGAGAAAAAAAUUUAAGAAAAACAGGAGGUAGGGAGAGCUGACGGUUUUCUUUCCAAUGCACAGCUUUCAUUAACUUCGGGUACCAGCCAUCUUCUUGAGUGAAGGCCAAAGAUGUCAAGAAAUGCAGAACACUCAGCCAGGACCAGGUUAGAGGCUGAGUUACCAACCACUAGGACUCAGAGCCUGAAGGCAGAGGGUUUUUCCUCCCCUGCUCAGGUAUAGUGAUUUGGUAUGUGUGUCUCUACCUCACUGGAACCCAGAACAUCUGCUAUGCCUCUCUGUGUUCUCAUCCAGGGAGGUGGAAUUUCAAUGUCUAUCCUAAAGGGCCACAGUAUACUGAUUAAAAACUUCCCAGAAUAGGAUGAGCCUCCCUCCCUAGAUGGCUGCAGAGAUUAGAUAAUGUGGCUUCUAAGUUAUUUCCUCUCUCUUGAGUUUCCUCCAAUCAUAAAAUGGGAGUGGCUAUUCAGGGAAUUUGUGUAAUACUGCCCAUAAAGUUACACAAUGUCCUACUGAAAGCUUUCAUAACUCCCUUCAAGGAGAUUUUGAGGGAGGUCUAAGCUAUGACACCAAAUGGAAUGGUGUUUUUAUCUUUCUAACAGGCAAUGAGGGAUGUCCUCUUCUGUAGGCAACUAUGAAACUACCCAGAGCAGUCAAGAAGCAUUAGCUUAGAAACUGAGUACUCAGUACUAAGAAAUGAGAAAUGGUAACUCAGUACUGAGACUAAGCACAACAGUCAUGGGCACAGAUGUAAAGAUACUGAAGAAUCUUAGCUUUGACGGGGCACAUCUUUGGAUUGGUUCCUUAGCCCCUCUCUGGCUCAAUUCCAGCAAAAGAGGGAUCAAGUUGGUUAAUAUAAAUGACAAAUAUUCUUAGAACACUUAACUUGCAAGGAGAAAAUACUGCUAGCAAUUUUAAUAGAAAUCAUUUGUUUACUCAAGACUAUUCAAAAUUCUCUGACUUCCCAGCCUCCCUUUCAGUCAGAUCAGGUCCUAUGACCCACACUGGUCAAUGGGCUGAGAAGUUAUCAUGUGACAUUUUAAACUGAAACAAGAACUGGCACGUUGGUCAACUUUUUCUUCUCAUCUCUGCAAUCAUGGAUUCAUGUGUUGAGAAGGUAGAGCAAAGUGGAAAGUCGUAUGAAUCACUGGCUCAUUACACCAGAGAACAGCUGUCCAAAGUCAACCAACUUGUAUGAAACUUGGAAGAAGUUGAUUCUGUUCUUCAGAAACAGGAAACAUUUGCUUAUUACUUAUAAUGUUCCAGGCACCAUAUGUGGCACUUUAAUGUUAUUUUUAAUAAUUCUUUCCUUACAGCUAACAGUAGUUCUAAUCUGGGAUAGUAUUGGUACCCAGGGGACAUACAUUUGGUGAUGCCUGGUGAUAAUUCUGGAUAUCACACUGAAUGGGUCCUACUACUGUCUAUUGGGUAGGCAGCAGGACACUGCUAAACAGCCCCAUAAUGGAUUUAGUAUCAACACGGCCCCCAAAGAAAAUCCCUCCCUUUGAAACCCAAACCCUUCCCACUACGACAUUUCUAUUUCCAGAUACACUGUCUAUGUAGGUAUAGACACAUGUACAACUUUUCAAUCCUUUUAUGUUCAAAUAAGAAUAAACCACACAGUUCUGAAAAUGUCUCAAAUUCAUUCUCUAUCAAAACCAACACUCCUGCCUCGCUGUCUCUAGUGGUCUAACAGACUUACAGCAGACCCUAAUUUCUCAGGGCAUAUCAUAGUAGAAGCCCUUUCUCUGAGAACACCAAAGGGAGCUUUUAAGAAACAUUAGCUCUGCCCCAUUCCAAGAAAGCCACAACUGAGCUAAGAGGGACCUGAGUGUCCCAACCAGCUCUCUGAGAACAAUCAAAAUUGGGGUCUAGAAUGAAUUCCUCCACCUGUGCCUUGGAUCUCAAAGGCCUCCAGACCCUUGAAACCUCAUCCUUCCCAGAAUGCCUUCUCAACCUCCUCUAAUCCCCUCCCUGCUAGCACUUAAUCUCAUCUCCCUGCCCUCUAGCCACUGACUACAUAAGCCACUACCACCUCUCCCCUCUCCUGAGCUGCUUACACAAAACUGGUCAUGUGAACCAACAUCAUAGAAGAGCAACAAUGUGAAAAACUGAUCUUGGAGCUAGGGCUGUAGUUCAGUAGUAGGGUAGGCCUAGAACUUCGGGCAGCACACACAAGCACAAAGGUCUAACCCAGUGAAAAGCACUGCGUCUGUUUCAACUGUUUACCCAAGAGUAAAUCUUUAACUAAACUGCAUCUACUUCUAGUUUGAGAUGUUAUGGAGAUAUAUUUACUUGAUAUACAGGUCUAAAUAUCAAGCUAGCAACUUGAUGGCUAGAGCUCAGGAAAGUUAUUUUAAGGGGGUGAAACGAGGGUGGUUACAUGAAGGAAACGUAGAAAAGGCCAAGACUACAUCCAUGAGAAAAAAAAAAAAACAAGCAGCAAUCAGGAAGAGACAGAACAGAAAACAGCACACCAUGGCGUAA
Long non-coding RNA from Dipodomys spectabilis (banner-tailed kangaroo rat), 3132 nucleotides. RefSeq lists it as uncharacterized. The transcript has 3 exons. Lineage: Eukaryota; Metazoa; Chordata; Mammalia; Rodentia; Heteromyidae. The record is from RefSeq and is a predicted model, not a curated record.